Molecule: ribosomal RNA, 369 nt
Filed under: uncultured bacterium
Lineage: Bacteria
Description: bacterial SSU rRNA
Rfam family: Bacterial small subunit ribosomal RNA
Source: RNAcentral
ACCGGCGCACGGGUGCGUAACGCGUAUAGACCUACCUUUUACAGGGGAAUAGCCUUUAGAAAUGAAGAUUAAUGCCCCAUAGUUUGGCAUCAAUAAAGAUUUAUCGGUAAAAGAUGGCUAUGCGUCCUAUUAGUUAGUUGGUAAGGUAACGGCUUACCAAGACAGCGAUAGGUAGGGGUCCUGAGAGGGAGAUCCCCCACACUGGUACUGAGACACGGACCAGACUCCUACGGGAGGCAGCAGUGAGGAAUAUUGGACAAUGGAGGAGACUCUGAUCCAGCCAUGCCGCGUGCAGGAAGAAUGCCUAUGGGUUGUAAACUGCUUUUAUACAGGAAGAAACACUACCUCGUGAGGUAGCUUGACGGUACC